This 495-nucleotide ribosomal RNA is filed under the name uncultured bacterium. RNAcentral describes it as "partial 16S ribosomal RNA". It matches the Rfam family "Bacterial small subunit ribosomal RNA", at positions 28 to 523 of the family's 1533-position model. The record is from RNAcentral.
GAUGAACGCUGGCGGCGUGCUUAACACAUGCAAGUCGAGCGAAGCAUUUUAAAGGAAGUUUUCGGAUGGAAUUUAAAAUGACUGAGCGGCGGACGGGUGAGUAACGCGUGGGUAACCUGCCUCAUACAGGGGGAUAACAGUUAGAAAUGACUGCUAAUACCGCAUAAGCGCACAGUGCUGCAUAGCACAGUGUGAAAAACUCCGGUGGUAUGAGAUGGACCCGCGUCUGAUUAGGUAGUUGGUGAGGUAACGGCCCACCAAGCCGACGAUCAGUAGCCGACCUGAGAGGGUGACCGGCCACAUUGGGACUGAGACACAGCCCAAACUCCUACGGGAGGCAGCAGUGGGGAAUAUUGGACAAUGGGGGAAACCCUGAUCCAGCGACGCCGCGUGAGUGAAGAAGUGUUUCGGCAUGUAAGGCUCUAUCAGCAGGGAAGAAAAUGACGGUACCUGACUAAGAAGCCCCGGCUAACUACGUGCCAGCAGCCGCAGUAA